AUAAAGAUGGCAGAGAAAAUGCAUUAGGUUUAAGCCCUAAAGACGAAGAUUAUUCUUUUCUUUAUA
This 66-nucleotide transfer RNA is filed under the name Maackia herderiana. Its description in RNAcentral is "tRNA-Leu". It matches the Rfam family "tRNA". Rfam says of the family: Transfer RNA (tRNA) molecules are approximately 80 nucleotides in length. The record is from RNAcentral. Lineage: Eukaryota; Metazoa; Mollusca; Gastropoda; Littorinimorpha; Baicaliidae.